RNAcentral lists this ribosomal RNA (253 nucleotides) under uncultured bacterium. Its description in RNAcentral is "partial 16S ribosomal RNA". It matches the Rfam family "Bacterial small subunit ribosomal RNA", at positions 524 to 776 of the family's 1533-position model. The record is from RNAcentral.
UACAGAGGGGGCAAGCGUUAUUCGGAAUUAUUGGGCGUAAAGGGCGCGUAGGCGGCCAGGCAAGUGGAAGGUGAAAUCCCUCGGCUUAACCGAGGAACUGCCCUCCAAACUGCUUGGCUUGAGACCGGGAGAGGUGAGUGGAAUUCCCAGUGUAGCGGUGAAAUGCGUAGAUAUUGGGAGGAACACCAGUGGCGAAGGCGGCUCACUGGACCGGUACUGACGCUGAUGCGCGAAAGCGUGGGGAGCGAACAGG